Olea europaea var. sylvestris is the source of this 580-nucleotide long non-coding RNA. RefSeq lists it as uncharacterized. Lineage: Eukaryota; Viridiplantae; Streptophyta; Magnoliopsida; Lamiales; Oleaceae. The record is from RefSeq and is a predicted model, not a curated record. The transcript is spliced from 3 exons.
UGAUUCCAAGUGAAAAGAGGGUGAAACAGCCAAAGAGAAUUAGAAGCAAGAAGCUGGAAUUUCUGAACAGCUUUGUUACUCCACAGUUUUGAGGAGACUUUUCGACGUUGAGCGAAAAAGGAAAUUGAUACACACUCCAUAGGAGCUUACACACAUAAAGGCGAAAGGUGAACAUGGAACUACAUAGAGAGCAUGGCUAGCUGUAGAGCUCCUACAGGAUUCCAGAGUUCGAUGUACAUGGAUGACGACCUGUAGGGUUAUUUUGUAGGCUGCCAUUUGUAGGGUUAUAUUUUGGAAUCCUAUAUAGUGUACUUUUGAAAUGGCCUGUAGACAUGUUUAUAAGCUCAGAAUAUAUAUAUGUUGGAUUAUGGCGAUAUGAUUUUGGGUUUCGAUAUGUUAUAUGAUCAUGUCACAGGUGAUUAGAAGUUAAAAAAAAACUCGAAAAAAAAAAUAUGUAAAAUUCUAUAUCUAGGUUGUGUAUAGAUAUCAAUGUUAAUUUGGGGGCGUGACAGAGAGUGGUAUCAGAGCGAGGUUAUAAUUCUGUAGACUGUCGAUGUGCAUGAUCUCGGAAUAUGAAAGA